Long non-coding RNA from Ostrea edulis (European flat oyster), 959 nucleotides. RefSeq lists it as uncharacterized. The record is from RefSeq and is a predicted model, not a curated record. Lineage: Eukaryota; Metazoa; Mollusca; Bivalvia; Ostreida; Ostreidae. The transcript has 3 exons.
AUACAAUACGAAAAUAUUAGGUGGUAACCAGUUCGUGGACGAUUUCAGCUGAUGGGACUACUCUGGAAAUGAAAAAUACCAAGAGAGACAUGGUCAUCAGUGCUGUUCUGGGUACAUCUUUAACCGAACUUCACAGAAGUGUAAAAAAAAGAACCUUUAAGAUCAAUGCUAGGAGAGGAAGAUACUUCUAGUUAUACAAAGUCCACCAGUACUUUAUUUGAAUCUUUGUCGAAAAGUAAAGUAAAUGGUGAGCAUGACUAGAAGAACACCUCGACUGAUUCAGCUGAGGAAACCCUACCUUCUUCCGUGCAUCCAUUGUAUGAAUCCAUCAAUGAAGAUUUUAUCGCACCUUCCAUUCAGUGCGAUCAGUUGAAUCAGACCAAUGCUGACUGAAUAAGUAAUGCGGUUGAUAAAAAUAAAUGUGUUUUUAACAGUGUAUGGAUAUCUUUAUUCUAUAGACAUGUACAUAUGUUGGUCCUCCUUCUGGAAAAAUUUGAAAGGCUAUUUUAAUGGAAUACUAUCUGUCCGCCUUAUCGUAUCAAAAAUAUCUGUAGUUCUUGACACUCAUGCCCUCAAACUUCAAAUAUCAUUAUAUGAAAGUGAUUUUACCCUUGAUGGAAUAUAAUGACAUUAUGCAAGAAGCGUUACAAUCCCUACUCUUUUUUAACUGUCAAAGAUACAUACAAACUAUCUUCCUAUAAGAAUUUUAGACAAAAGCGUUAUUUAACAUGCUUGUAACCCCUAGUAUAUCUAGGUGUCCGUCUUUCCUCUUGUGUUUUGCAUUUCUUAAAGGCGUUAUGAGAUUGAUCGCUAUUCGUUAUCUUCUCUUCUCAUGCAUCUGAAAUGUACGAAUUCAAUGAUGUUUAAUGAUGUUUCAUGUUUCUGACAUUUGAUGAUUGUUACCUUCGGAAGACUGCACGUAAAUAUAUUGGAUUAACUUGAGUAUCAUUUUUGGCAGG